This 90-nucleotide transfer RNA is filed under the name bacterium. RNAcentral's name for it is "tRNA-Ser". It matches the Rfam family "tRNA". From Rfam's summary of the family: Transfer RNA (tRNA) molecules are approximately 80 nucleotides in length. Their secondary structure includes four short double-helical elements and three loops (D, anti-codon, and T loops). The record is from RNAcentral.
GGAGAGGUGGCCGAGCGGCUGAAGGCGACACACUGCUAACGUGUUAUACCAGAAAUGGUAUCGAGGGUUCGAAUCCCUCUCUCUCCGCCA